GUACACAAAAAUGCACAUGCUGUGAGCUCGAUGAGUAGGGCGGGACACGUGGUAUCCUGUCUGAAUAUGGGGGGACCAUCCUCCAAGGCUAAAUACUCCUGACUGACCGAUAGUGAACCAGUACCGUGAGGGAAAGGCGAAAAGAACCCCGGCGAGGGGAGUGAAAAAGAACCUGAAACCGUGUACGUACAAGCAGUGGGAGCACGCUUAGGCGUGUGACUGCGUACCUUUUGUAUAAUGGGUCAGCGACUUAUAUUCUGUAGCAAGGUUAACCGAAUAGGGGAGCCGAAGGGAAACCGAGUCUUAACUGGGCGUUAAGUUGCAGGGUAUAGACCCGAAACCCGGUGAUCUAGCCAUGGGCAGGUUGAAGGUUGGGUAACACUAACUGGAGGACCGAACCGACUAAUGUUGAAAAAUUAGCGGAUGACUUGUGGCUGGGGGUGAAAGGCCAAUCAAACCGGGAGAUAGCUGGUUCUCCCCGAAAGCUAUUUAGGUAGCGCCUCGUGAAUUCAUCUCCGGGGGUAGAGCACUGUUUCGGCAAGGGGGUCAUCCCGACUUACCAACCCGAUGCAAACUGCGAAUACCGGAGAAUGUUAUCACGGGAGACACACGGCGGGUGCUAACGUCCGUCGUGAAGAGGGAAACAACCCAGACCGCCAGCUAAGGUCCCAAAGUCAUGGUUAAGUGGGAAACGAUGUGGGAAGGCCCAGACAGCCAGGAUGUUGGCUUAGAAGCAGCCAUCAUUUAAAGAAAGCGUAAUAGCUCACUGGUCGAGUCGGCCUGCGCGGAAGAUGUAACGGGGCUAAACCAUGCACCGAAGCUGCGGCAGCGACGCUGAUGCGUUGUUGGGUAGGGGAGCGUUCUGUAAGCCUGCGAAGGUGUGCUGUGAGGCAUGCUGGAGGUAUCAGAAGUGCGAAUGCUGACAUAAGUAACGAUAAAGCGGGUGAAAAGCCCGCUCGCCGGAAGACCAAGGGUUCCUGUCCAACGUUAAUCGGGGCAGGGUGAGUCGACCCCUAAGGCGAGGCCGAAAGGCGUAGUCGAUGGGAAACAGGUUAAUAUUCCUGUACUUGGUGUUACUGCGAAGGGGGGACGGAGAAGGCUAUGUUGGCCGGGCGACGGUUGUCCCGGUUUAAGCGUGUAGGCUGGUUUUCCAGGCAAAUCCGGAAAAUCAAGGCUGAGGCGUGAUGACGAGGCACUACGGUGCUGAAGCAACAAAUGCCCUGCUUCCAGGAAAAGCCUCUAAGCAUCAGGUAACAUCAAAUCGUACCCCAAACCGACACAGGUGGUCAGGUAGAGAAUACCAAGGCGCUUGAGAGAACUCGGGUGAAGGAACUAGGCAAAAUGGUGCCGUAACUUCGGGAGAA
Molecule: ribosomal RNA, 1364 nt
Filed under: Escherichia coli
Lineage: Bacteria; Pseudomonadati; Pseudomonadota; Gammaproteobacteria; Enterobacterales; Enterobacteriaceae
Description: partial 23S ribosomal RNA
Rfam family: Bacterial large subunit ribosomal RNA
Source: RNAcentral